UGCAGAUGAUGUAAAGAAUAUUUGCUAUCUUAGCAAUCAUGCAGACAACCAACCACCAAGAUCGCUGAUGCA
Molecule: small nucleolar RNA, 72 nt
Organism: Megalops cyprinoides (Indo-Pacific tarpon)
Lineage: Eukaryota; Metazoa; Chordata; Actinopteri; Elopiformes; Megalopidae
Product: small nucleolar RNA SNORD24
Exons: 1
Source: RefSeq, a predicted model, not a curated record